AAACUGAGGAUAAUACUGGAUAGGCAAUUAUUCCUGCAAUGGUUUUUUGUUUAAAUGUUUUUUCGCCUAAGGAUGGGUCUGCGGCCGAUUAGGUAGUUGGUUAGGUAACGGCUUACCAAGCCAUUGAUCGGUACGGGUUGUGAGAGCAAGAGCCCGGAGAUGGAACCUGAGACAAGGUUCCAGGCCCUACGGGGUGCAGCAGGCGCGAAACCUCCGCAAUGUGAGAAAUCGCGACGGGGGGAUCCCAAGUGCCAUUCUUAACGGGAUGGCUUUUCAUUAGUGUAAAGAGCUUUUGGAAUAAGGGCUGGGCAAGACCGGUGCCAGCCGCCGCGGUAACACCGGCAGCUCUAGUGGUAGCAGUUUUUAUUGGGCCUAAAGCGUCCGUAGCCGGUUUAAUAAGUCUCUGGUGAAAUCCUGUAGCUUAACUGUGGGAAUUGCUGGAGAUACUAUUAGACUUGAGACCGGGAGAGGUUAGAGGUACUCCCAGGGUAGAGGUGAAAUUCUGUAAUCCUGGGAGGACCGCCUGUUGCGAAGGCGUCUAACUGGAACGGUUCUGACGGUGAGGGACGAAAGUUAGGGGCGCGAACCGGAUUAGAUACCCGGGUAGUCCUAACUGUAAACGAUGCGGACUUGGUGUUGGGGUGGCUUUGAGCUGCUCCAGUGCCGAAGGGAAGCUGUUAAGUCCGCCGCCUGGGAAGUACGGUCGCAA
This 709-nucleotide ribosomal RNA is filed under the name uncultured archaeon. RNAcentral's name for it is "bacterial SSU rRNA". It matches the Rfam family "Archaeal small subunit ribosomal RNA", at positions 137 to 846 of the family's 1478-position model. The record is from RNAcentral.